RNAcentral lists this ribosomal RNA (253 nucleotides) under uncultured bacterium. Its description in RNAcentral is "partial 16S ribosomal RNA". It matches the Rfam family "Bacterial small subunit ribosomal RNA", at positions 524 to 776 of the family's 1533-position model. The record is from RNAcentral.
UACGGGGGGAGCAAGCGUUGUUCGGAUUUACUGGGCGUAAAGGGCGCGUAGGCGGCGCAACAAGUCACUUGUGAAAUCUCCGGGCUUAACCCGGAGCGGCCAAGUGAUACUGUCGUGCUAGAGUGCGGAAGGGGCUACUGGAAUUCUCGGUGUAGCGGUGAAAUGCGUAGAUAUCGAGAGGAACACCGGUGGCGAAGGCGGCAUCCUGGACCGGUAUUGACGCUGAGGCGCGAAAGCCAGGGGGGCAAACGGG